This 3206-nucleotide long non-coding RNA is filed under the name Piliocolobus tephrosceles (Ugandan red Colobus). Its description in RNAcentral is "lncRNA (ENSPTEG00000012589.1)". The record is from RNAcentral. Lineage: Eukaryota; Metazoa; Chordata; Mammalia; Primates; Cercopithecidae.
CUAAUAAUAAUUUAAUAAAUUUAAAAAAAGAUGAAAAAAAACAAACAGCUAAAAGUGAAAAAGAAGUGAACGCUAAGGAAGAAUAUUCAAAAAAUGAUGGCGAUAAAAAAUACCAGGACCAAUACGAUUGUAGUGAUGAAAGUGUAAACGUUUACGAAAAAAAAAGUAAGCAAAAUAUACAACAUAGUUUUGAUGAUAAAAUAGACAAACCCCCAAAUGAUGAUCCUAUGGGAAUUUCGAUAAAAAAGGGAGUAACAAUGAAAGAGGCAGGAGCAGGAGAAGGAGCAAGAGAAGGAGCAGGAGAAGGGACAGGAGAAGGAGAAGGAGCAGAAGAUGAAGAUGAUACGGAGCAAGAGUAUAACGAGGAAAAGUUUUAUUUAUUAAAAAAAAAUAAAUAUAAAAAUUUAGCUGUUGAUUUUUGCUUUGGAUCCAUUAGUGAAAAUAUAUCGUGGAUAGAAACGUGUUUAUUUGUUUUGUUAAAAAAUGGAUUGAUAUUAAUUUAUACUCCUGUAAUUACAAAAAAAUGUUGCAUAAGUUAUAAUUUAUUGUAUGAAUUAAAUGUAAUUAAAGAAAAGAGAAAAUUCGAACUAAAAGAAAAAUUAAAAAUGCAAAAACACACAAAAAAUAAACGCAAAAAAAAUAAACAUAGUAACAAAUAUUUUUCGCGUAUUUUAAAAUAUUAUAAUUAUUUCAAAGAUUUUGAAAUAACUAAAUAUAAAGAAAAAUAUGUAUGUAUGAAUUUUAAUAUAAGAGAAACAAAAAGAAAACAAAAAAGAAAAAAAGAAAAAAAAAAAAAAAAUUUUUUUAUGCCUUAUGUUCUUAAUUGUUUACACAAUUCACAGUACCGAUCAAUAAACUUAUUGUAUUAUAAUAAUUUUGUUAUAAUUUGUGUUUGUAAUAAAAUUGGGUAUAUAUCUUUUGUUUUGUUAAAUUAUUAUAUUAGUCCGCUUAAGUCGAUAUAUGGAGAAAGUAAUUUUAAUAUAGAGCAACUUUCAGAUUCAGAAAAAAAGGUAGACCAAAAGGUUUCACAUUUGCUCGAUGCUGAGUUAUAUCCAGAUUUAGAGCCAGAGUUAGAGUCAGAAUCAGAAUCAGAGUCAGAAUCAGAGUUCGAAAAAUGGGAAGACAAAAAGAAAGAAAGUUUUUUUUUUAACAUUUUUAAUAACAUUGAUAAUGUAUAUUUUGAUCAUAUGAAUACUUCGGAUUUUAAAAACUUAAUGAAUAAAGAAAAAAUUGAGAAGUAUAAGAAUGAAAUAAAAUAUACGUAUAAAAUGAAAUAUCUACUGGAUAAGUAUAAUAGAAAGAAUAAAGGAUUAUUUAAUGUUGAAAAUAAUAAAACUGUAAUUAAUUCUGACAAUGUUAUUACAGAUGUUGAUGGGAGUAAAAAUGAGAGUCCAUUAUGCAAAGACAUUGACGUUUCAAAUGACCAUGAUGAUAAAAAAAAAAAAAAAAAGGGUAAUGUUUCUUUUUUUAUUAAUAAGCUUUUAAAAAAAGAUACCACCAGUGGAAAUUCCACUCCUAGUGGGACUCAAAAAAAUACGCAGAGUGACACUAAGAAUGACUUUACAACUAAUGCAACAAAUGACCAUAUAACAGACACAACAGAUGAGACAACUCAUAACGUUACAGAAAACACUAUAGAUGAUAAUACAAAAAAUACUAAAGAUAACACAACUGAAAACGCUACUGAAAACGCUACUGAAAACACUACUGAAAACGCUACUGAAAACGCUACUGAAAACGCUACUGAAAACGCUACUGAAAACGCUACUGAAAACGCUACUGAAAACGCUACUGAAAACACUACUGAAAACGCUACUGAAAACGCUACUGAAAACGCUACUGAAAACGCUACUGAAAACAUUACCCAUAAUACUAAAGACAAUACCACUGUUGAUAAAAACAAAAAAAAAAAGGAUAUACAAAAAUUGUAUAAAGAUGAGCAAAUAGAAAUAAAGGAAAGCGAUUAUGAUGAUGAUGACACGUUUUUUUCAUGUUACGAAGAUGAAAAAGAUAUUCUAAAUAAAGAAAUAGAACAAGAAAUUAAUUCAGAUUAUCUUUUAUUAAGAGUGUUAUAUUUUCACUCAUAUUACACAGAAAUGUAUGACGUAAGAUGUAUAGUGUUGUAUAAUAAUAGUUUACUAUGUUUUAAUAAUAAUAAAAUUAUAGUAUUAAAUUUACUCUGGUUAAAAUUUCUUAAUGUUAUUUUACACUUAAUAUGUUUAAAAAAUAUAUUAACUGCAAAAUUACUACACGAGAUGUGUAAAAAUAGUUUAUAUAUGAAAGUAACUAUUUUCAAAUCAAAAAUAAAUUUUUAUGAAUUUGAUUAUUAUAAGUAUUUAUUAUUAGAUCAUAGUAAAAAAUUAUAUUACGAAAAUUUUAUAAAAUUGUUUAAAAAAAAAGAAAAUGUAUUACUUAAAGGACAUAAUGCUUGCUACAGUGAUAAUGCAUGCGAUGACUAUACAUACAGUAGUGAUGUUUGUACUAACUACAAAUUUAUCGACAGCACACGUAAUGGUAAUAAUAGACGUUAUAACACUGUCAAUAAUAUACACCUCAAUAGUGAAAAAAACAAGAAAAAUAAUUUUGAUAUUUUUCAAUCUAAUGUACUUUAUAAUGUACAAUAUGUUUUGUAUCCAAUAAUUAUUGAAGAUGAAGGUAACAUAACAAAUGACAGUUUGAACGAUUUAUAUUUUAUUUUUACUCAUUACGUAAAUUUAGAUUGUCAGAGAAAAGAAAAAUUAUUUAUGAAUGAAAAUAUUAAUUUCUUUACAUGUAAUAUAUAUAAAAAGUUAUUUUUAAUAUAUGAUUGUUUUAAAUUAAAUGUUUAUAAAAAUAAUGAUCAUUUAAUAACUCAAGAUAUACAGACCAAAACACAACUAAUACAAAAAAAAACUACUAGUAGUCCGAAUACUACUACUAUUGUUACUACUAAUAAUAAUAACAAUAUGGCUACUGUUACUACUGUUAUUAAUAAUAAUACUACUAAUAAUAAUAUUAAAAAAAAAAAAAAAAAAAAAAAAAAAAAUUACAAAUCUUUAUGUAUAUUAUCAAAACACACGAAUAUUAGAAAUUAUCUUAUUAAUGUUAAUAUAGUAGAUGAUUAUUCAACAGAUAUUAACAUAUACAAACAGUUAUAUUCUUUUUAUAUUAAUGCACAAUGUAAUAAUUAUGUGAAUGAAUUAAUUAAAAAGGAAUUUGUUUUUUUU